This 765-nucleotide ribosomal RNA is filed under the name Triticum aestivum (bread wheat). Its description in RNAcentral is "partial small subunit ribosomal RNA". Lineage: Eukaryota; Viridiplantae; Streptophyta; Magnoliopsida; Poales; Poaceae. The record is from RNAcentral.
AUGCAAGGGUGGUCUGAACGUUUAUUGGCAUGUGCAGGCAGAGAAACAUUGAUGAAAUCAGUGGUGCAAUCCAUACCAACGUUUAGUAUGAGUACUUUUCUUCUAACCAAGAAGGUUUGCAAGAGUGUUACCUCCCCAAUGGCAAAAAUUUCUUGGAGCAGUUCUCUUGACAGGAAGUCAGUGCAUUGCGUCUCAUGGGAACAAUUGACGACGCCAAAGUGCAAAGGGGGCAUGGGCUUCAGGGACAUGCACCAGUUUAAUCUAGCGACGCUGGGCAAACAAGGGUGGAGGCUGCUCACACAGCCGGAUACAUUGUGCUCAAGGGUGCUAAAAGGAAGGUAUUUCCCGGAAGUUGAUUUCAUGGAUGCUACGCUGUCCAAGUCAGCUUCCAAGACUUGGCGGGCGAUUAUGGCGGGCAGGGAAGCCCUCCAAGCCGGUUUGAUCAAAAGAAUUGGAGAUGGCACAUCCACUUCUAUAUGGACUGACAGAUCACCUACCACGCUUGAUAAGGUCUCAGAUCUGAUAGACAGUGAUAACUGGUCAUGGCGACAGCAGGUGGUCCGAGACAAUUUUAUUGCGCCAGAUGCCCAGGCCAUUCUUAAUAUCCCAUUGAGGCAAGGCGGCGGUGAAGAUUUUCUCGCUUGGGCGCUCGAUAAGUCAGGCAACUAUACUGUCAAGACGGCGUACCGUGCUCUUAUGACUCAGAAAGAGCGGUUAGCUCUAGAGGAAGGGACGGAUACCGGUACUUCACGGGAUGAUCAUUAG